RNAcentral lists this unclassified non-coding RNA (390 nucleotides) under Hevea brasiliensis (rubber tree). Lineage: Eukaryota; Viridiplantae; Streptophyta; Magnoliopsida; Malpighiales; Euphorbiaceae. The record is from RNAcentral.
CUUCGCCCAAUUCUUCUUUCAAGAAAGAAGAGGUUGGAGAUCAGGAGCUUUCCUUCGUGCUACCUGACCUAAAUCUUCCUGUUGAAGAUAACUCGGGCCCUGAUGUUCUAUAUGGGAUUAGCUGAGAAGAAUCACUUAUAUACUGGUAGUCUUCUUUUCAAAUCAAUAGCAGCAUUUGUUCUUUUAAUCUGCAGUCCUAACAGCAUCACAAAUUGAGUUAAUGUAAGUACUAUAACCAAUUAACUUCACGGCAUCUUUACCUGGAUGCGAACUCUGUUAUUUAUACUGAAAGUACUGAGGGGUAGUGUAGAGAUCCUAAUCAUUAGUUACAGCUUAGAUUCUUUCUUUGAGCAGAUUUCUACAUUCAUCCAAAUUCUUUGGGGCCAACCA